RNAcentral lists this ribosomal RNA (468 nucleotides) under uncultured bacterium. RNAcentral describes it as "partial 16S ribosomal RNA". It matches the Rfam family "Bacterial small subunit ribosomal RNA", at positions 28 to 507 of the family's 1533-position model. The record is from RNAcentral.
GACGAACGCUGGCGGCGUGCUUAACACAUGCAAGUCGAACGGAAAGGCCCUGCUCUUGUGGGGUGCUCGAGUGGCGAACGGGUGAGUAACACGUGAGUAACCUGCCCUUGACUUUGGGAUAACUUCAGGAAACUGGGGCUAAUAUCGGAUAGGAGCUCCUGCUGCAUGGUGGGGGUUGGAAAGUUUCGGCGGUUGGGGAUGGACUCGCGGCUUAUCAGCCUGUUGGUGGGGUAGUGGCUUACCAAGGCUUUGACGGGUAGCCGGCCUGGGAGGGUGACCGGCCGCAUUGGGACUAAGAGACGGACCAGACGCCUACGGGAGGCAGCAGUGGAGAAUAUUGCACAAUGGGCGGGAGCCUGAUGCAGCAGCGCCGCGUUCGUGAUGACGUCCUUCGGGUUGUAAACCGCUUUCGCCUGUGACGAGGCGUGAUUGACGGUAAUGGGUAAAGAAGCACCGGCUAACUACGUG